GGUUGACCUCGGAUCAGGUAGGGAUACCCGCUGAACCUAAGCAUAUC
RNAcentral lists this ribosomal RNA (47 nucleotides) under Aspergillus flavus. RNAcentral describes it as "partial 28S ribosomal RNA". RNAcentral also lists the same sequence under 12 other names. The record is from RNAcentral. Lineage: Eukaryota; Fungi; Ascomycota; Eurotiomycetes; Eurotiales; Aspergillaceae.